UUGAACUAUUUGCUUUGCCUGAUGACUGCAUUCCUAAAUUACUCUUGCCGCAUAGCUUCCUGUAUUGUUCAAAUUCAGGAUUUCCCUUUCUUCUUCUUCUUCUUCUUCUUCUUCUUCUUCUCCUCAUUCCCAAUUCAAUUCUGAAAUUUAUUCAUUAAUUAAUUCCUUUGUGCCAAAUAGUCGACGCUGUCAGAGAGAGCUAUUGAACUACUUGCUUUGUCUAAUGACUGCAUUCCUAAAUUACUCUUGCCGCAUAGCUUCCCGUAUUGUUCAAACUCAGGAUUUUCCUUUCUUCUUCUUCUUCUUCUUCUUCUUCUUCUUCUUCUUCUUCUCCUCCUCAUUCCCAAUUCAAUUUUCUUUCUUUCUGAAAUUCAUUCAUUAAUUAAUUCCUUUGUGCCAAAUAGGCGAUGCUGUCAGAGAGAGCUCUUGAACUACUUGCUUUGCCUAAUGACUGCAUUCCUAAAUUACUCUUGCCGCAUAGCUUCCCGUAUUGUUCAAAUUCAGGAUUUCCCUUUCUUCUUCUUCUUCUUCUUUUUCUUCUCCUCAUUCCCAAUUCAAUUUUCUUUCUUUCUGAAAUUCAUUCAUUAAUUAAUUCCUUUGUGCCAAAUAGGCGACGGUGUCAAAGAGAGCUCUUGAACUAAUUGCAUUGCCUGAUGACCGCAUUCCUAAACUACUCCUUGAUAUCGGUUGUGGAACGGGACUUAACGGCGAGACAAUCUCGGAGAAUGGACACCAUUGGAUUGGGCUUGAUAUUUCAGCAUCAAUGCCUAAUGUUGUGGUGGAGCGAGAGGUUGAGGGUGACCUUUUACUUGGUGACAUGGGUCAGGGCUUAAAGCAGCAGCAGCCAUAGGAGGUGGUACCAAACUUCCUCAGCCUCCCCCAACACAACCAACAACAAGGGAAUUCCAACAACAACAACAUGGGAGAGAACAAACCGUCAGAGGUUAAGGAUUUCUAGAUAGUGGUAGCUGCUGAGAAGGACGAGAGCAAGAAGCAGCAACAGUUGGCACCAAAGAGGAGAAAGCUGGAUUUGGUUUACCCCCUUAUUGUUCCUUCUCCCCAGUACUCGAGUCUCCAUA
Molecule: long non-coding RNA, 1079 nt
Organism: Glycine soja
Lineage: Eukaryota; Viridiplantae; Streptophyta; Magnoliopsida; Fabales; Fabaceae
Exons: 4
Source: RefSeq, a predicted model, not a curated record